UCUCGUAGCGUCGAGGCGGACGUGAGGCGGUGCUGAGAAGUAUUCCGAGUGAGAGCUGCAGAACUCAAAUGAACCUUCCAUUCCGAGCCGUCUUCAGAGCGCGCAGUGUCGCCCGGGAGAAGCCUCCUCUCCGCUUCAGCUCGACGCCACUUCGGGUGAAUGAAGCGUUCCGUCCAUGCGGAGACUAGCUCUGGUUCUUCUGCCCUGUGCUCUCGGCGUACUGGUGCACUUGUGGUUGGCUCAGCAACGGCGCUCCACGCCGCUGGAAGACGACGACAAACACCCGGAUGGGGCGGUACCGUCCUAUGAAGUUCUGGUGGGAGUUUUAUCAGCCAGGCAGCAUUCGAAACUGCGACAAGCCAUAAGGGACACCUGGUUGGGCUACUUGCACCAGCACCCUCACUUCAAGCAGAGAGUGGGGGUGAAGUUUAUCGUGGGUAAACAUGGAUGUCCCAUCCCAGAGGAGGACAGAGAAGAUCCUUACUCCUGCUCCCUACUCAACAUCACCGAGCCAGAGGCAGGCCAGGAUGCAGAGAGAGAAAUCGUGAUGGUGUCCGACCCUAUGGCGCUGGUCCCCUCUGAUGUGUCCGCUGUCGCCCUGGAUUUUAAGGUGCUCCACCCGGUGGUGAUCACCAGGCUGGGGGUGUUUCCCCGAAGCACUCAGCCUGAACUGAAGAGCAAUGUGACUGUAAAGCUCCUGCAGCUAGAUCAGGAGGAGGCGAUAGUAACUGCUCGCUUCAGCGCCAUCAGCACAGGGACCCUCGUAAGCGGUAUCUGGUACAAACCCGUGGAGCAGUUCAUCUUGCCCAAGGGUUUUGAGGGGACGCUAGUGUGGGAGAGUUCCGACUUAGACGUACUGACCACAGUCAACUCAUCAUGUGUGCAGCUCAAUGAUGGGGGAGGCGUACUUAAGUUCUCGUCUAUUGCAGAAGGUGUACUGCCCCACAGAAGUGCUGUUGGAUUUCCUGGUUUGGCUGGAGGCUUCACCUUUACCAUUUACGACAGGAACGGUCUGCGUGAGCACUUGUGGGGCUGUCCAGCCAGGAUGGAGCGCCACGCCUCGGGGCUGAGGCAGGAGGAUGCCGCUUUGAAGCAAGAGAGCCUUAGGCACGACGACAUGGUCUUCGUAGAUGUGGUGGACACCUACAGGAACGUGCCUUCCAAACUCCUUCAGUUCUACAAAUGGUCUGUGGCAAAUAUUGACUUCAGUCUGCUCCUGAAGACUGAUGAUGAUUGCUACAUCGACGUGGACUCCGUUUUAAUGAAGAUCGAGCACAAGGGUCUCAAACGUAGCCAUUUCUGGUGGGGGAAUUUCAGACAGAGCUGGGCAGUGGAUCGCAUCGGAAAGUGGCAAGAGCUCGAGUAUGCCAGUCCCGCCUACCCGGCCUUUGCGUGCGGAUCUGGCUAUGUGGUGUCACGUGACCUGGUGCAGUGGCUCGCCACAAACGCGCAGAGUCUGAAGGCCUACCAGGGAGAAGACGUGAGCAUGGGCAUCUGGAUGGCAGCUGUUGGACCACAGAAGUAUCAGGACCCCAGCUGGCUCUGUGAGAAAGAAUGCUACCUGGACAUGCUGUCGUCCCCCCAGCACACAGCGGAGGAGCUGCGUGCCAUGUGGGACAGGAAGAGGACGUGCGGUGACCCCUGCGGAUGUCCCUGGGGACAGUAAGGACUCUUGAAUUGCCCAUUGAUGUGGAUGUGAGUUGGAAUGGUGAUUUGACGAUAUAGUCUGUGUCCCCCUGCGAUUAACUGAUGUUCCAGGGUGAACACCUCAUCUCACCUAAAGCCACAAAGGGACCAUUCCACACUGCUGUCAAUCACUCUCAUCCAUCCAUGUGUGGGGCUCUCUGGGAGGAGGAGGAGGAGUAAAUCAUUUAUUCAUGACAUCCGAAAAGAGCCUUGCUGACUGUUUAUGACUCACGGGAAUGAGGAGGAACCUGGAGAUGAAGUACCUGAAGAAACCUCAAACAGGAAGACCUGAACCAAAAUUUCAACCCAAAACCUCAUUAUUGAGACAGCUAUGCUAACCAGGAUGCACACCGUUCUGCCCCCGUUUGAAUUCAGAUGCAUUAAACAUUUGCAGUCUUGAAAUAUUUGUUCACUAGAUGGCGCUAUUUCUCUUCAUGGGUUUAGAGGAAAGCUUAUAUGACCCCUGAGGACAACAAAACCUGCAAGACCGUAAAACGUUCUUGAAGAAUCUUUAUUUAAUUGUUGCCUGAUAACAGUGUGAAAGGUUAACAAUUUUGUGAGCAUGAUAAAAAUAAUGGAAAUAUGAUACUCCAAUGAUGAACUGAGAAACGCACAGAAAUAUUGAGCACCCCCCCCCAAAAAAAAUCACACUGUUAAAUGGAAUAGCAAUAUUUUGCAUAACAAGUGGACAAUUUGAUGUUCUUUGAGCUGUGGCGGCUUGAUGAAUAAGAGCCACGUGUCUCUUAAGACACUCCAAACAUCCAUGUGCUUCAAAGAUGGACUUCAGCAAAACACUCUGUUGGUUAUAAAGCAAAUGGCUCUCCCUUUAGAUAGCGCAUUUCUAACUUCAAGGUACUCAAAGGGCUUUUAAAAUGUCGCCUCAUUCACACAAUGAUGACAGCGUACGUGACCAUGGUAGGAAAUUCAAUGUCUGCGGCACACAAAGAAACCUGAGCCAGCCUGGAAUAUUUCACAUUUUGAAGCAAACAUGGACAAUUUCCUCCAAAGCCAAAUUGUGAAAUGAACACUUUUCCAAAAGAUGGGCAGCAUUUGCUUCCACGGAGUGUUUAUUACAACCUGAACAGUCGCUUCAUGAUUUCAGCAUAUUUUCUGAACACAGGCUGCCUUUGCGUCCACCAAGAUAAAUGGAGGCUACAGUUUAAUAAGAUAUGAAUAGUGGCAUUGUCAUUUUAACAAAUUUCCAACACAGCAACCGUAGGGGCAGGACGCAUACUUGAUUGGUUUCCACCAGUGGUCUAAUGUUCUAACAGUUUUGUGAUAACGAGUGUUUUCGUGGACUUAAGGCUUGCGGAGUGAGUGACGACAAAGAGGAAGACGAGGUCAAAGCGGUUUAGCAUGACGUGCUGCUCAGUGCUCAGCCUUUGACUCCGUUUCAGCCUCUCGAUGCAUGCGGCUGAGGAGCUCCACCAGGCUUUCCAGCUGAGGGUUCCCCCCAAACUCCCUGAUUAGAUGGUAAACCUCGGCCUCCAGCUCUCGCAGAGUCUGACGGGUAUAUGCGAAGGAGCCCACCUUCUCCAGGUAGUCCACGCAGUAACGCUUGAUGUCCAAGUUGUCGGUGCGCUGUCUGAGGAUGUUCUGCACCUGGGUGCUCUCUGGACGUGACCAGAUGGCGUGGAUGGUGGGGAAAGAGAACUUGCCCUCUGUCAGGUCCUCGCAGAAACUCUUGUUCUCACUGUACUCGCGAGAGCUCAGGUUGGCGUAGUCAUCCCGGAUCUGGAAGAAGAGGCCCAGAGUGUCGAGGAGGGGCUUCAAAUCCUGCUUCCAAUCGGAGAAGAGCUGCAUCAGGCCCACGGCCAGGCCGAAGAGACCUCCGGUUUUCUGCAGCACCAUGUCGCGGUACUCCUGCUCCGUGGGACAGGUGUACGUGUCCCUCCAGUGGAUGUCCAGGCCCUGGCCGCGGUGCAGCUCCAGCAGUUGCCGGGGAAACCUCGCCGCAGAUUGGAGUUGUCUUCGAUGUCAUCUAUGAGCAAGCUGGCGUUGUGCAACAUUUCGGUCACUUCGAUGAUCACCUGAAUUAAGAAGACAAGAAAAACUCAAGUGACCUUGAGAGACGGCGUGUAUGGUAUGUCGAUGCACUACAACUUGUGCACACCAGAGGGCGCCAAGCUCCACUCGAGUACUGACAGUCAAAUGGUGAGUGAUUGACCUACACUUACACACUCAUAAUUAGUGGAUGCAGGACUACACACCUCUUCACGUCCUAAAAGCGCCUUACUUAGCAUUAGGAGACAAAAAGUAUC
This is an RNA transcript of Hippocampus zosterae (dwarf seahorse), 3947 nucleotides long. It is a transcript of the gene named beta-1,3-N-acetylgalactosaminyltransferase 2, with no coding region annotated. NCBI's taxonomy places the organism in Eukaryota, Metazoa, Chordata, Actinopteri, Syngnathiformes, Syngnathidae. The transcript has 16 exons. The record is from RefSeq and is a predicted model, not a curated record.